CAGAUGACGCUGGCGGCGUGCUUAACACAUGCAAGUCGAACGAUGAUCUCCAGCUUGCUGGGGGGAUUAGUGGCGAACGGGUGAGUAACACGUGAGUAACCUGCCCUUGACUCUGGGAUAAGCCUGGGAAACUGGGUCUAAUACCGGAUACGACCGUCCCGCGCAUGCGGUGGUGGUGGAAAGCUUUUGCGGUUUUGGAUGGACUCGCGGCCUAUCAGCUUGUUGGUGGGGUAAUGGCCUACCAAGGCGACGACGGGUAGCCGGCCUGAGAGGGUGACCGGCCACACUGGGACUGAGACACGGCCCAGACUCCUACGGGAGGCAGCAGUGGGGAAUAUUGCACAAUGGGCGAAAGCCUGAUGCAGCGACGCCGCGUGAGGGAUGACGGCCUUCGGGUUGUAAACCUCUUUCAGUAGGGAAGAAGCGAAAGUGACGGUACCUGCAGAAGAAGCGCCGGCUAACUACGUGCCAGCAGCCGCGGUAAUACGUAGGGCGCAAGCGUUAUCCGGAAUUAUUGGGCGUAAAGAGCUCGUAGGCGGUUUGUCGCGUCUGCUGUGAAAGACCGGGGCUCAACUCCGGUUCUGCAGUGGGUACGGGCAGACUAGAGUGAUGUAGGGGAGACUGGAAUUCCUGGUGUAGCGGUGAAAUGCGCAGAUAUCAGGAGGAACACCGAUGGCGAAGGCAGGUCUCUGGGCAUUAACUGACGCUGAGGAGCGAAAGCAUGGGGAGCGAACAGGAUUAGAUACCCUGGUAGUCCAUGCCGUAAACGUUGGGCACUAGGUGUGGGGGACAUUCCACGUUUUCCGCGCCGUAGCUAACGCAUUAAGUGCCCCGCCUGGAGA
This 842-nucleotide ribosomal RNA is filed under the name Arthrobacter sp. Its description in RNAcentral is "bacterial SSU rRNA". It matches the Rfam family "Bacterial small subunit ribosomal RNA", at positions 26 to 879 of the family's 1533-position model. Lineage: Bacteria; Bacillati; Actinomycetota; Actinomycetes; Micrococcales; Micrococcaceae. The record is from RNAcentral.